AGUCGAGCGAGCUUGCCUAGAUGAUUUUAGUGCUUGCACUAAAUGAAACUAGAUACAAGCGAGCGGCGGACGGGUGAGUAACACGUGGGCAACCUGCCCAAGAGACUGGGAUAACACCUGGAAACAGAUGCUAAUACCGGAUAACAACACUAGACGCAUGUCUAGAGUUUGAAAGAUGGUUCUGCUAUCACUCUUGGAUGGACCUGCGGUGCAUUAGCUAGUUGGUAAGGUAACGGCUUACCAAGGCAAUGAUGCAUAGCCGAGUUGAGAGACUGAUCGGCCACAUUGGGACUGAGACACGGCCCAAACUCCUACGGGAGGCAGCAGUAGGGAAUCUUCCACAAUGGACGAAAGUCUGAUGGAGCAACGCCGCGUGAGUGAAGAAGGGUUUCGGCUCGUAAAGCUCUGUUGGUAGUGAAGAAAGAUAGAGGUAGUAACUGGCCUUUAUUUGACGGUAAUUACUUAGAAAGUCACGGCUAACUACGUGCCAGCAGCCGCGGUAAUACGUAGGUGGCAAGCGUUGUCCGGAUUUAUUGGGCGUAAAGCGAGUGCAGGCGGUUCAAUAAGUCUGAUGUGAAAGCCUUCGGCUCAACCGGAGAAUUGCAUCAGAAACUGUUGAACUUGAGUGCAGAAGAGGAGAGUGGAACUCCAUGUGUAGCGGUGGAAUGCGUAGAUAUAUGGAAGAACACCAGUGGCGAAGGCGGCUCUCUGGUCUGCAACUGACGCUGAGGCUCGAAAGCAUGGGUAGCGAACAGGAUUAGAUACCCUGGUAGUCCAUGCCGUAAACGAUGAGUGCUAAGUGUUGGGAG
Molecule: ribosomal RNA, 809 nt
Filed under: uncultured bacterium
Lineage: Bacteria
Description: bacterial SSU rRNA
Rfam family: Bacterial small subunit ribosomal RNA
Source: RNAcentral